UCUGGGAAUUAAAGACUCUUGUUGCAUGGAAUCAAAUAUCCUAGAGGUGAAAGAGACCUUAAGAGUUAGGUCCCUUCCAUUUUAAGCAUGAGUCAAUUAAGGAAGGCUGGAUGAUUUGUCCCAGGCCUUAUAGCAAUCCUGUGGGGAGAACUCUCAGCCCAUAAAGAGCAGGGAUGCAUCUGUUGGCAACACACAGAGUUUGGCUCUCUCAUUGCCAGACUAAGCCAAGUUCUCAGAACAAAUAACCAGUCUUCCCCAAAGAGAAACGUAAGUCCUUGAGGAAUAGAAAACAGCAACUAUUUUUCUACCUCCACACGAUCAUGCCCUAGUCUCAGCUCUUUGCAGAAAUUAGGGCCUGCAACUGGUAAUACGCCCAAGGCUUCUAACUCUCCUGAGGUCUGCAUGGCAUUUAGGACCCAGGAAUAAAAAGACACUAGUGUUUGUCCCCAGUACCCGCCCCAAGACCUACUGAUGGCCCAGUUUAACACUGUUUCACAUAAACUGUCAUCAUAAUUAAAUCCCAAUGCAUUUUGCACAUUUUACCAAGAUACCGCCUUACCAUA
Long non-coding RNA from Callithrix jacchus (white-tufted-ear marmoset), 563 nucleotides. RefSeq lists it as uncharacterized. The record is from RefSeq and is a predicted model, not a curated record. NCBI's taxonomy places the organism in Eukaryota, Metazoa, Chordata, Mammalia, Primates, Cebidae.